Molecule: transfer RNA, 71 nt
Filed under: Kaloula sp. Samar & Leyte
Lineage: Eukaryota; Metazoa; Chordata; Amphibia; Anura; Microhylidae
Description: tRNA-Val
Rfam family: tRNA
About the family: Transfer RNA (tRNA) molecules are approximately 80 nucleotides in length. Their secondary structure includes four short double-helical elements and three loops (D, anti-codon, and T loops). Further hydrogen bonds mediate the characteristic L-shaped molecular structure. tRNAs have two regions of fundamental functional importance: the anti-codon, which is responsible for specific mRNA codon recognition, and the 3' end, to which the tRNAs corresponding amino acid is attached (by aminoacyl-tRNA synthetases). tRNAs cope with the degeneracy of the genetic code in two manners: having more than one tRNA (with a specific anti-codon) for a particular amino acid; and 'wobble' base-pairing, i.e. permitting non-standard base-pairing at the 3rd anti-codon position.
Source: RNAcentral
ACAAAAUGUAGCUUAACAUAAAGCACUUCGCUUACAUCGAAGACAUAUCUGUUUAAUCCAGAUCGUUUUGA